UAUUUUUAUGUUCUUGAGUCAGUUUUACAUUGAUUAGCAUCCCUACUUAAUCCCCGGUUAGAACGAUCCCUAUUUGCUCAUAUACUACAAUUGUCAUCCAUAGGGUUUAAUUUGUGUGUCAAGUUAAUUUUCACAUCAGAAUUCACAUGCAAUCAUAAAAGGGAAAAUCAGUUUUUGUAACAUGCUUGAAGGAAGGAACUCAAACUAACGCUACAACCUUGUUAGACUUGAGCCUAAAUGUUUAUUUGGAGAGUUAAAAUCUGUGCAUUCUUUGUUUUCUAAGUCGUUGCAUGAUCUCAUUAUUCCUUGCUUGGUUGCUACUUAGAAGGCGUUUCAUCAUUUAGUUCCAAAUGCUAGAACUCAUGCCCAUUUCAUUCAAAGCAUGUCAUUGAAUUGCAUAACACAUAUUCAAGAUGAAGUUGUGUAGGGACCACCACCUUAGCCAAAAAGCCGUGUGCCCUACUCCAUUAUAUGUUUAAGUUUAACCCCGUUGAGCCUUGUUUAGCCUUUUCUUUGUUAACCCACAUUACCCUCACCUAGCCUAGAUUAGGACUAUCCAUACCCUUGUUCUUGAAGCAUAGUAAAGCAUGAUUCAAAUUGAAUUCCUUUUGAUUUAUGUUGGCAGAAAACAAGUGUGGGGGAAGUAUUUCUUUUGUGAUUUUGUGUGCCAUAGGCACGUGUGGCUAAAAGAAAAGAAAAGAAAAAAAAGUCGUGGAAAAAGAAAAAAAAUGAAGAAAAAAGUGUGAAAAGUAUGAAAAAAAAAAAGUUGAAAAGAUGUGAAAAAGAGUUUCAAAGUAUUGAUUGUUGAAGUAAGGGUCCAAAACAAUGAAUUCGGCCCUAAAGAGUUCUCUAAAUCUUUCCCUUGUGUUUUAAAGUUAAUUUCUGCAAUCUAAGUGAAUUCUAAGUCUCAAUUUCACUGCCUUGCUUACUAUUGCUUGAAGAACGUUUGUUUUCCCUAUCCUUUCCUUGUUAACCAACAACCCAAGCCCCAUUACAACCCUUAACUUCUAUCUUGAGUGUUAUGUGUUUCAAUUUGUGGAGUUUGAAUUUGGUAUGAGCAUAUGGUGUCACUGGUUCUCGCAUCUAAGUAGUAGCAUUCCAUUCAUGAGAUCGUAUUUAAACAUGCUUCUUAACUCUAGAAAUUGCGUUCUUUGUGAUACAUAUAUGUGAGCAUUC
RNAcentral lists this long non-coding RNA (1176 nucleotides) under Malus domestica (apple). Its description in RNAcentral is "long non-coding RNA (MDOM_LNC020583)". Lineage: Eukaryota; Viridiplantae; Streptophyta; Magnoliopsida; Rosales; Rosaceae. The record is from RNAcentral.